Molecule: ribosomal RNA, 542 nt
Filed under: uncultured bacterium
Lineage: Bacteria
Description: bacterial SSU rRNA
Rfam family: Bacterial small subunit ribosomal RNA
Source: RNAcentral
AAUAGAUACCCGGGUAGUCCACGCCGUAAACGUUGGAUACUAGGUGUGGCGGUUAUACCAAUGACUGCCGUGCCGAAGCUAACGCAUUAAGUAUCCCGCCUGGGGAGUACGGCCGCAAGGCUAAAACUCAAAGGAAUUGACGGGUCCCCGCACAAGCGGCGGAGCAUGCGGCUUAAUUCGAUGCAACCCGAAGAACCUUACCUGGGUUUGACAUCACGGGAAAAGCUGUAGAAAUACAGUGUCCAUUAGGGCCCGUGACAGGUGGUGCAUGGCUGUCGUCAGCUCGUGUCGUGAGAUGUUGGGUUAAGUCCCGCAACGAGCGCAACCCUUGUCCUAUGUUGCCAGCGGUUCGGCCGGGGACUCAUAGGAGACUGCCGGGGAUAACUCGGAGGAAGGUGAGGACGACGUCAAGUCAUCAUGCCCCUUAUAUCCAGGGCUGCACGCAUGCUACAAUGGCCGGUACAACGGGCAGCGACCCCGCGAGGGUGAGCGAAUCCUAAAAAGCCGGUCCUAGUUCGGAUUGAAGUCUGCAACUCGACUUC